GACGAACGCUGGCGGCGUGCUUAACACAUGCAAGUCGAACGGAAAGGCCCGGCUUUUGUGGGGUGCUCGAGUGGCGAACGGGUGAGUAACACGUGAGUAACCUGCCCUUGACUGUGGGAUAACUUCAGGAAACUGGGGCUAAUACCGGAUAGGAGCUCCUGCUGCAGGGUGGGGGUGGGAAAGUUUCGGCGGUUGGGGAUGGACUCGCGGCUUAUCAGCUUGUUGGUGGGGUAGUGGCUUACCAAGGCUUGGAAGGGUAGCCGGCCUGAGCGGGUGACAGGCCACGUUGGGACUGAGAUACGGCCCAGACUACUCCCGGACGCAGCAGUGCAGAAUAUUGCACAAUGGGCGGAAGCCUGAUGCAGCCACGCCGCGUGCGGGAUGACGGCCUUCGGGUUGUAAUCCGCUUUCGCCUGUGACGAAGCGUGAGUGACGGUAAUGGGUAAAGAAGCACCGGCUAACUACGUG
Molecule: ribosomal RNA, 468 nt
Filed under: uncultured bacterium
Lineage: Bacteria
Description: partial 16S ribosomal RNA
Rfam family: Bacterial small subunit ribosomal RNA
Source: RNAcentral